AAUUUUGAGGGUAUUGAAAAAUAUUGAUGUUGGGAUUAACAAUACCAAAACCUCCAUCGAUCAACAAAUUAUGGCCACUCACAUACCUACUUUCUUCACUACCCAAAAACAAAGCUGCAUUGGCCACAUCCUGAGCCUUAAGCGUGACUCCUUUCAGAUUCGCCAUAGAGUUCAUAGCCAUCUCAAACUCCUCGCCCUCCAACCCCACAAACUUCGUCGCCAACGGCGUUACCAAUGCAUACGGCGACAAGCAAUUCACCCUAAUCCCAAACUGCCCCAACUCCACCGCUGCAUUCUUCGUCAAUCCCACCACUGCAUGCUUUGAGCAUGUAUAAGCAUGCGAUGCAGAGCCACCGACAUACGAUG
Molecule: unclassified non-coding RNA, 366 nt
Filed under: Hevea brasiliensis (rubber tree)
Lineage: Eukaryota; Viridiplantae; Streptophyta; Magnoliopsida; Malpighiales; Euphorbiaceae
Source: RNAcentral